AUUCGCGGAGUUAAAAGACGCAGUGUCAAUGUUACACUAGAAAGCUCCUCCCACCACAGACUCCUUUUCAAACUGAGAGGAUUUUUCACGGCGCCAUUUUCUUCACAUCAGUUACACGUAGUUCGAUGAAGAGCACUGACUAUAAGAAAUUACUGUCUACAGGAAGCAUGCCAGAGGAAUUGUAAUGUCUGUACAUGUCACUCUCCAAGGAACAUUAUUAUGAUGGCGAGAGUGGCACUGGGUACUUGGCCUGGAGGAUUAAAACCAUACAGAGAUGCACCGCUAAAGGGAGGCGAUUAUCAUCUGGAGCACCAGGAGAUGGAUCAUCGAGUGAAGACCAGUGUGGUGGACCAACUGUCAGACGAGAGUUGCAGUUUGUUACAGAGAAGGUGCUGAGUGAGGAUGAGUGCAAGGAUACAAUCUCUCUGAUGAAACAUUCAGCUGAUGAAGACACAGUCAAGAAGAAGAUGAAGUUGACAUUUGUUUAUCGACACAGCAUGGUCCUUGACCUCCUGCUGUCAAGCAACAUACUGUC
Molecule: long non-coding RNA, 535 nt
Organism: Oreochromis aureus
Lineage: Eukaryota; Metazoa; Chordata; Actinopteri; Cichliformes; Cichlidae
Exons: 4
Source: RefSeq, a predicted model, not a curated record